CGACGCCUAAGCCCACUCCUUGGACUUAGUUAGGCUGAGGUAGGCUAGUUCAUGACUUAGUUGGGAACCAACUAUAUAUCCCACAUCAAUUAGGAACAUUACAGUGAAAGUUUUUAUAUAAACGCAGCAGCAGGGUUAGCUUCUUCCUUCGGGGACAUCCGAUAAAAUUGGAACGAUACAGACAAGAUUAGCAUGGCCCCUGCCAAAGGAUGACAUGCACAAAUCGAGAAAUGGUCUAAAUUUUUUUUAUUUUUUUGGUUGUUGCUUUUUCCAGAUUGAAAACCAGCUUCAAGUUCAGCCAAUUUGUUUUCUGGUCUCCGCUAUCAGAACCCAGCUCUCAAUACAAAGCUAGGAGUCUAUACACACACAACUGUGGGCUUGAAAUUGUUACAAUGUCAUGGUGCCAUGAUGAGUACAUGUAUCUGGUGAUCACUCACCUUAUAACACCAACUCUAACCUUCGUUUUUCAUCUUAUUAAUUCAAAUGGCAUGGCAACAUUUUUCAUCA
Long non-coding RNA from Gossypium arboreum, 507 nucleotides. RefSeq lists it as uncharacterized. The record is from RefSeq and is a predicted model, not a curated record. NCBI's taxonomy places the organism in Eukaryota, Viridiplantae, Streptophyta, Magnoliopsida, Malvales, Malvaceae. The transcript is spliced from 2 exons.